UGGAAUGGCUUUAAACGACCCGUCUUGGAACACGGACCAAGGAGUCUAACAUAUCUGCGAGUAUUUGGGUGUCAAACCCGAGUGCGCAAUGAAAGUGAACGUAGGAGCGAUGCGCAAGCUGCAGCUUCGACCGAUCUGGAUCUUUAGUGAUGGAUUUGAGUAAGAGCAUAUAUGUUGGGACCCGAAAGAUGGUGAACUAUGCCUGAAUAGGGUGAAGCCAGAGGAAACUCUGGUGGAGGCUCGCAGCGGU
This 250-nucleotide ribosomal RNA is filed under the name Crypthecodinium cohnii. RNAcentral's name for it is "partial Eukaryotic large subunit ribosomal RNA". It matches the Rfam family "Eukaryotic large subunit ribosomal RNA", at positions 630 to 884 of the family's 3401-position model. Lineage: Eukaryota; Dinophyceae; Gonyaulacales; Crypthecodiniaceae. The record is from RNAcentral.